AUUGAACGCUGGCGGCAGGCUUAACACAUGCAAGUCGAGCGGGGGAAGGUAGCUUGCUACCGGACCUAGCGGCGGACGGGUGAGUAAUGCUUAGGAAUCUGCCUAUUAGUGGGGGACAACAUCUCGAAAGGGAUGCUAAUACCGCAUACGUCCUACGGGAGAAAGCAGGGGAUCUUCGGACCUUGCGCUAAUAGAUGAGCCUAAGUCGGAUUAGCUAGUUGGUGGGGUAAAGGCCUACCAAGGCGACGAUCUGUAGCGGGUCUGAGAGGAUGAUCCGCCACACUGGGACUGAGACACGGCCCAGACUCCUACGGGAGGCAGCAGUGGGGAAUAUUGGACAAUGGGGGGAACCCUGAUCCAGCCAUGCCGCGUGUGUGAAGAAAGCCUUAUGGUUGUAAAGCACUUUAAGCGAGGAGGAAGCUACUUUAGUUAAUACCUAGAGAUAGUGGACGUUACUCGCAGAAUAAGCACCGGCUAACUCUGUGCCAGCCGCCGCUGUAA
Molecule: ribosomal RNA, 501 nt
Filed under: uncultured bacterium
Lineage: Bacteria
Description: partial 16S ribosomal RNA
Rfam family: Bacterial small subunit ribosomal RNA
Source: RNAcentral